AGUAAAUUGGUUAAGUUAGAAAGGGCGCACGGUGGAUGCCUUGGCACUAGGAGCCGAAGAAGGACGGGACUAACACCGAUAUGCUUUGGGGAGCUGUACGUAAGCGUUGAUCCAGAGAUUUCCGAAUGGGGGAACCCACUAUCUUUAGUCGGAUAGUAUCCUUACGUGAAUACAUAGCGUGAGGAAGGCAGACCCAGGGAACUGAAACAUCUAAGUACCUGGAGGAAGAGAAAGAAAAAUCGAUUUCCUGAGUAGCGGCGAGCGAAACGGAAAGAGCCCAAACCAAGAAGCUUGCUUCUUGGGGUUGUAGGACACUCUAUACGGAGUUACAAAAGAAAGUUAUAAAUGAAGCGGUCUGGAAAGGCCCGCCAAAGACGGUAACAGCCCGGUAGUUGAAAUGGCUUUCCCUCCAGAGUGGAUCCUGAGUACGGCGGAACACGUGAAAUUCCGUCGGAAUCCGGGAGGACCAUCUCCCAAGGCUAAAUACUCCCUAGUGACCGAUAGUGAACCAGUACCGUGAGGGAAAGGUGAAAAGCACCCCGGAAGGGGAGUG
This 553-nucleotide ribosomal RNA is filed under the name Listeria monocytogenes. RNAcentral describes it as "partial 23S ribosomal RNA". It matches the Rfam family "Bacterial large subunit ribosomal RNA", at positions 1 to 540 of the family's 2925-position model. Lineage: Bacteria; Bacillati; Bacillota; Bacilli; Caryophanales; Listeriaceae. The record is from RNAcentral.